Molecule: ribosomal RNA, 449 nt
Filed under: uncultured bacterium
Lineage: Bacteria
Description: bacterial SSU rRNA
Rfam family: Bacterial small subunit ribosomal RNA
Source: RNAcentral
AACGAACGCUGGCGGCAUGCCUAACACAUGCAAGUCGAACGAAGCCUUCGGGCUUAGUGGCGCACGGGUGCGUAACGCGUGGGAAUCUGCCCUUGGGUUCGGAAUAACAGUUAGAAAUGACUGCUAAUACCGGAUGAUGUCUUCGGACCAAAGAUUUAUCGCCCAAGGAUGAGCCCGCGUAGGAUUAGGUAGUUGGUGGGGUAAUGGCCCACCAAGCCGACGAUCCUUAGCUGGUCUGAGAGGAUGAUCAGCCACACUGGGACUGAGACACGGCCCAGACUCCUACGGGAGGCAGCAGUGGGGAAUAUUGGACAAUGGGCGAAAGCCUGAUCCAGCAAUGCCGCGUGAGUGAUGAAGGCCUUAGGGUUGUAAAGCUCUUUUACCAGGGAUGAUAAUGACAGUACCUGGAGAAUAAGCUCCGGCUAACUCCGUGCCAGCAGCCGCGGUAA